AGGAUUAACGCUGGCGGCGUGCCUAACACAUGCAAGUCGAACGAGGUAGCAAUACCUAGUGGCAGACGGGUGAGUAACGCGUGGUCAACCUACCGUUGAGUGGGGGAUAACUAGCCGAAAGGUUAGCUAAUACCGCAUACGAGUCUCGGGGGCAUCCCUGAGCCUUAAAAGGAGCAAUCCGCUCGAUGACGGGACCGCGUCCCAUUAGCUAGAUGGUGGGGUAACGGCCUACCAAGGCGACGACGGGUA
Molecule: ribosomal RNA, 249 nt
Filed under: uncultured bacterium
Lineage: Bacteria
Description: partial small subunit ribosomal RNA
Rfam family: Bacterial small subunit ribosomal RNA
Source: RNAcentral